RNAcentral lists this ribosomal RNA (374 nucleotides) under uncultured organism. RNAcentral describes it as "partial 16S ribosomal RNA". It matches the Rfam family "Bacterial small subunit ribosomal RNA", at positions 527 to 896 of the family's 1533-position model. The record is from RNAcentral.
GUAGGUGGCAAGCGUUGUCCGGGAAUUAUUGGGCGUAAAGCGCGCGCAGGCGGUUCUUUAAGUCUGAUGUGAAAGCCCACGGGCUCAACCGUGGAGGGUCAUUGGAAACUGGAGAACCUGAGUACAGAAGAGGAAAGCGGAAUUCCACGUGUAGCGGUGAAAUGCGUAGAGAUGUGGAGGAACACCAGUGGCGAAGGCGGCUUUCUGGUCUGUAACUGACGCUGAGGCGCGAAAGCGUGGGGAGCAAACAGGAUUAGAUACCCUGGUAGUCCACGCCGUAAACGAUGAGUGCUAAGUGUUAGGGGGUUUCCGCCCCUUAGUGCUGCAGCUAACGCAUUAAGCACUCCGCCUGGGGAGUACGGCCGCAAAGGCUG